This 508-nucleotide ribosomal RNA is filed under the name uncultured bacterium. Its description in RNAcentral is "partial 16S ribosomal RNA". It matches the Rfam family "Bacterial small subunit ribosomal RNA", at positions 28 to 507 of the family's 1533-position model. The record is from RNAcentral.
GACGAACGCUGGCGGCGUGCCUAAUACAUGCAAGUCGAACGCUUCUUUCCUCCCCAGUGCUUGCUCUCAAUUGGAAAGAGCAGUUGCGGACGGCUUAGUAACACGUCCUUAACCUACCCAUCAGAGUGGGAUAACCCUUGCAAACAGCUGCUAAUACCUCAUAACACUUUAUUCCGCAUUGCAUGAGAGUGUUGGGCGCUCUCGUGUGUCGCUGCUGGCUGGACCCGCGCUGCAUUAGCUAGUUGGUGAGGUAACGGCUCACCAAGGCAACGAUGCAUAGCCGACCUGAGAGGGUGAUCGGCCACACUGGAACUGAGACACGGCCCAGACUCCUACGGGAGGCAGCAGUAGGGAAUCUUCGGCAAUGGACGAAAGUCUGACCGAGCAACGCCGCGUGAGUGAUGAAGGUUUUCGGAUCGUAAAACUCUGUUAUUAGAGAAGAACAAGGACGUUAGUAACUAAGCGCCUCUUGACGGUAUCUAACCAGAAAGCCACGGCUAACUACGUG